GAAUCUCUUCAGGGCGGGGUGCAAGUCCCCACCGGUGGUAAAGCCCACGAACCUCAUCAUAGAGGUAGGUCUGGUGAAAUUCCAGAGCCGACGGUAUAGUCCGGAUGAAAGAAGAGUGGA
Dialister succinatiphilus YIT 11850 is the source of this 120-nucleotide regulatory RNA element. It matches the Rfam family "FMN riboswitch aptamer (RFN element)". Rfam says of the family: The RFN element is a highly conserved domain that is found frequently in the 5'-untranslated regions of prokaryotic mRNAs that encode for flavin mononucleotide (FMN) biosynthesis and transport proteins. This element is a metabolite-dependent riboswitch that directly binds FMN in the absence of proteins. Lineage: Bacteria; Bacillati; Bacillota; Negativicutes; Veillonellales; Veillonellaceae. The record is from Rfam.